UCCCACGAUAAUUUUUUAUAAUUUUCGUAUUUUAUUGUUUUAACUUGUUCUUUCUUUAUUUGCUUCUUUCUUUUUGUGCAGGUAUUUGAGUUGCUUUUUAUUUAUUUAGUUUUGAUUUUCUGUUUUUUUUUCAUUAGUUUUUAUCUUUCUUUUUUUACCUUUGUUUUAAAAUUCCAGAUUCUGUUCUAUUUUCCUUUAGAGUUUCCUUUUG
Molecule: long non-coding RNA, 211 nt
Filed under: Salvia miltiorrhiza (redroot sage)
Lineage: Eukaryota; Viridiplantae; Streptophyta; Magnoliopsida; Lamiales; Lamiaceae
Description: long non-coding RNA (SMIL_LNC004391)
Source: RNAcentral